GUGCCCGCUUGGGCAGCACAUAUCCUAAAAUAGAAAGCGUACAGAGAAGAGUAGCAUGGCCCCUGCCCAAGGAUGACAUGCAAAUUUAAAGCCACUUGUAUUUUU
Molecule: small nuclear RNA, 105 nt
Organism: Peromyscus maniculatus bairdii (prairie deer mouse)
Lineage: Eukaryota; Metazoa; Chordata; Mammalia; Rodentia; Cricetidae
Source: Ensembl